AAACUGACCAUCCAACUUAUCGUCCCAGUUCAUGUCACCACAAAAAAUCACAUUUGAGUUCUUCUUGAGAAGGUUGAUGGCCUCCUUUGCCUGAUCCACGCCUUCCUUGCUGAACAUCUGAUCCCAUUUUGGAGGUGCUGGACAAGGACUCUCUAGAUGGCUUGUGGCAACAACUAAUGACUUUUUUCCUGGAACUUCAAGCUCAGCAAUGCAAAGUUUUCUCCCCAUUAUUGAAUUCAUAAAGGGUUUAGUGCUGAAAGAUUUUACUGGUAGUUUGCUUAACUGCAAACAAGGGGGCAAUAUUAAUAAUAAUAAUAGAAAAAUUAAUUUAGAAAAAAAAUGAAUGCCAAUAUCAAGUCUUUAAGUUGGAUCGCUGACAACUACAAGGCAAUGCAAUACAUGAAAUCCAGGUAAGAUAUUAUUUGGUCCCGUGCUUUACAAAGACACUGACUUUAUGGAACUGCUAAAAUUUAGUUAUAGGUCAAACAUAUUCCGUGAUCUGUAAGAUAAUCAAGGGUCGGUCCAAUAAAUGAAACACUAUCACUCAACCAAAGAAGGAAAACCUGCAGAAGUUCAUUUAACAGCCAACAUAAAACCAUGUUUCCAUGAUUCUCCAGUUCGGGGGAGAGAGUGUACAACAAAGAGAAUUAUCGGGAUCCAUACUUUGUCAGUAAGUAAAGUAAGCCAGAAGCAUACUAACAAGCAGAAUCACCAUCCAGCACAUUUCAAAACCAUACCUGCAUGCAAAAGUAUCCUCUUGAACUUGCUAUUUCAGAAGAAACAUAGCAUUGAUAUGCUUUCCACCAGCUGGAUUGCUGAAAUAUGUCAUAUAUAUCUGGAAUAACCUCCUGCAGGAAAAAAAAUGGCAAAAAUUAAGAUGAAAGUCAACACAGGGAGAUCCAAUUUCAAGAGUAGGAACAAGAAAAACCUGUAAACAAAUGACAUCUGGUGAAUGUAGUUGAAUAAGUUCACCAAGCGCUUCCAUCCUCCUAUGCAUCUCCAGGUCUGCUCGGAACCAAACAUUGUAGCUCAAAAUCUUUAAGGAACCAAACACUGCUAUUGAAUUUGUAUCCUCUGCCACAAAUUUAAGAAGCUUUCAAUCACAUGCAAUGAACAUACAUAACUGAAACCUUUUAAUAAAUUCCCAUCUCCGUAGUACUAUAACCAAGGCCCAAAAGGUACAAUGAUAGACCAAAUAUACAUAGCAAGCAGUCAAAUUUCAUGAUGGUAACACGAAUGCUAAAAAGCAAAAAGCAGCAACUUUACAAAACCAAUGCUUAUACAUAACCUCAUCAAUCCAUCAUUAUGGUUUCAGACAGCAUAAAUAAACUCACAAAGCAAAAGGCCAGUAAAUCGAAAUAAAUAAAUAUAAUUAAAUCAACUUGAACUACAAAUAUCCCACUUGCUUGUUAAAACAUAGACUCCCUUGUUUGAUGCCCUAGCUCCUUGAAACACAUCCAAUUUCACACUAGCCCCAUCACUUUCAUCUGCAUAUACUAAAACAUUCAACAACAAAAUCUAGAAGACUAACAAGCAAAUAAGAACUAACCUUUAUGAACAAACAUAUAGAAAAGCUGGCUAGAUGAUUAUUGAGGACAACACAACAAGCUUAACAUGUGACUGACAACAGGCAAUGGCAUUCAUGUUCACAUUUUUCAUCUCUAAAUAUAUAAAUAUUUAUCAGGAAGUACUUUAUUAAGUAGAGAUUACUGAAAUCUUUUUAAUGCAAUCCCAUCUCCCUAGUAAAAUGGAGGACAAAAAAGCAUAAUAAGCAACACACAUGAACCUAGCAUAUCAGAGCAAUCAAACUGAACAUUAUGAACAAAACCAGCAACACAAUAAAAUUAUUACUUAACAUAACUUCUCUAAUCCACCACUAUCAAUGAAGACAACAUAAAUAAAUAAUAAAGCAAAAACCCUUAAAAAAGACUAACUAGAACCAAAAAAAUUCUCCCUUGCGACCCGCCCUUUAGAACUGUGACUCCCUUGUUUGAAGCUUUAACCCUUGAAAAUUGAAACCCACCCAAUUUCUCACUAUGGCCAUCACCCCCAUCUGCAUGGAUCGGCACCAAUUCAUUCCAGAAACAAAACUAAACAGGCCCAACAAAACCCAAAGGACAAAGAACAUUACAAGCAACUCACAUUGAACCUCACAUACACAAUAAAGCAGUUAAACUAACCUUGUUAGAAUGAAAAUGGCAACAAAACUACAACCUCGUAAAUUUCCAUUAUGAGUAGCACUGAAUGGAAAUAAAAUCACAGAGCAUAAACCUUUAAAAAGAAAGAAAGAAAAAACCUUGAGCCACAAACAUGACAUACCCUUUAAAACAAUCACUCCCUUGUUUGAUGCUUUAAUCCCUUGGAAUCCACCCAAUCUCGCAGAAGCCCAUCACUUCCAAAAGGAUUCACUUCUCUCUCUCUCCCACGAUCCCAACCACCUCUCCCUGUCUCCACCACCACUACCAUACCCACCGCGGUAAUCGUUUCGUGGAACAUCCCAGCGUGAUCCACCACCAUACCCAGGACGAUCAUUACCCGACGCAGGCCCGCUAAAGGCAGCAGCCGGUGGAUCUGAAGAUGGCGCGCGGUUGCGGAGAUGAGGAGGGACAUAUGUGGAUCGAGUAGGGGCAUUUCCUGCAGUACCUACACUUUCAUUGUUAGCAGAAGAUCCAGCAUUUGUGCUCUCAUCUGCAGAAUUCGAAGCCAGAUCAGCUCAUGAACUCCUCGUAUUCAUCACAAUUCUUAACCUAAACGCAAAAACCCCAACACAAAAUUCCCUUUCUGAAAAAAAUCAACUUCUACUUCCACGAAUCAAACUUUACGCAAUUCCACUUUAAAAUCUUGAUAUCACAAUUUCAAUUCAACCCUGAUCUGAUUCACCAACUGUCAAAAUUGAAAUGCAACAACUCUAAUCCAAAAAACAAACAAUAAUCCUACCGUUUUUCUAGAGAGAACCUGAGAAGGAAACGGAAAGGAAUGAGAGAGAGAGAGAGAGAGAGAGAGAGAGAGAGAGAGAGAGGUGUUGGAAGGGAGGGAAGGAUGGUGUGUUAGGAAUGGAGAAGAUCGAAGAAGACAAAGAAACUCUAAAAUUAAGGAUGAAGAAGAUAGAGAAGGAAGAGAUUUUAUUAUAAAGAAACGCAAAAAUAUCUAUUGGUGGGGCUUCCAAUCAAAUCAUAUCAUUAUAAUCACAUUACAAAAUUAUAGUUAUAAUUACAAAUUAAAAGAAAAAAAUAUGUAAUUAUAAUUUUAUAAGAAACUCUUACAAAAUAGAUUACCAGAUUACUGACAAACUUGCACCUCCCCAAUCGCAUUCAUUCAGAAUACUCAGCUUCUGCAAUUCUGGGCAAUCACCAAAGAACUGCACAGAUCAUCUGGAAGCAGACAGCAUGGCAAUUUAACUUUUUUCAGAAUGGGUUUAUUUUGGAGUUUCAGUUAAGUGUAUUGGACAAGAGAGAAGUUGAUGAGGUAAACGGCUCAUCAUCAUAGUUAAGGACAAGUGAACAGUCCUGUACUUGACAGCUGGGCAAUUUAAAUUUGCGCUUGAUUUCACAAAUAAAUCAACUCAACAUAAAUUAAAUUCAAGAAAAGAAUUAAAUAAUUAUUUUAUUUUUAUAUACAAAUUAUAUUUUAAAUAAAAAAUAUAUCUAAUUAUAUAUUUUAAUAAAAUUAAAUAUUUAUACAUAGUUGCUUAUUACUUUGACCAUAACUUUAAAAAUUAUAGUAAAAAAUUGGGUUGAAAACAUCAUAAAUUUAUAAUAUUUUCAAAUCUAAUUUUUUCCAACCUUAGUUAAGGUUUAUAAAUAUGCUACAUACCAAGUAGCUUAACAUAUAUGUUUUUUAAGAAAAUAAACGGCUUCGUAGUAUUUAUGAACCCAAACAUAAUGAAUUGGAUUCUUGUUCAAUCUCAUUUAGAGUCCAUUUUAUUAGAAUUUUGUAAAUUAAUUUUAGUUAUUUCUGUUUAGAUUUAUUUGUCUUGAUAUUUCGAAGAGAAAUCGUAUGUUUGAUUGAAAUUAUCUUUGAUUUUUACUAAAUAUUGAAUCAAGAUGUUUGGAGAUUAAUAUGUUUGGAGAUGGAGUUGGCUAGUUGACCUCAAGAAAUCUUCCAGUAUGUAACAAGAAUCAAGAAAGCAAUCCCAUGGACUCUACCAAGGUUGUUAAAAUCGCGAUUCAACUCGUAAAAUUGUACGUUUUUACGAGUUAAUAUAGGCUAAAUCGUACAUAAAACUCGGAAAUGAGUAAAAUCAGGUCAAGAUUGGGUAAAAUUGUUAAAAUCGGGUGAAAUCGUGUAAAAUCGCGAUUUCACCACCGAUUGAACGAGUUUGCCCGCAGGAAAUUUUAAUUCAAUGUUGUUGCCACGUGUCGCCCUCUUAUUGGCUCUAACAGAUCGAAGGCAACCUCUUGUUCUUCCCCGGUUCGUCCAUGUAUUUCUUUCCUGGAGUGCCCUGUUUCUGGUGUAGUGGCUGCUGAAGAUAGACCUCUGGAGUUGCUGCUUCUGGAGGCGACGAAACGGUUGUGACGCUGGUGGUGACCCUUGUCUACUGCUUUCCUUGGUCUUCCUUAUGUUCUUCCUUUGCUCAGGACAUCAACUAUGGUGAUGAAGAUGUUAGGUGUUGUCGGUUGAAUGGACGUUUGCUCCCCUGUUUCUGUUUUUCUGCAUGCGUCUUCCCUAUUUUUCCUUUCCUAAGCUGUUGGUUGUGAUAUUAUUGGAAAACAAAGACGCAGAAAAGAUGGAGAAUCUAACCCUUUUGGUUUUGUCAGGUGGAGAACCAGGAGGGAGUGGUCAACUUUGAUGAGAUCUUGCGUGAGACAGACUCCUUCAUGGUUGCUCGUGGUGAUCUUGGAAUGGAGAUUCCAGUUGAGAAGAUUUUCCUAGCACAGAAGAUGAUGAUAUACAAGUGCAAUAUUGUGGGAAAGCCUGUUGUUACUGCUACUCAGAUGCUUGAGUCCAUGAUCAAGUCUCCUCGGCCAACCCGUGCUAAAGCAACUGAUGUUGCCAACGCUGUCCUUGAUGGUACUGAUUGUGUUAUGCUCAGUGGUGAGAGCGCAGCUGGGGCCUAUCCAGAGCUUGCAGUCAAGACCAUGCGCCGAAUAUGUAUCAAAGCAGAAUCUUCCCUUGACUAUGCUGCCAUCUUCAAGGAGAUGAUAAGAUCAACUCCACUUCCUAUGAGCCCAUUGGAGAGCCUUUCAUCAUCGGCUGUUCUCUUCUCCUUUGUCCAGUCUCUCCUUCCUCCUCCUGUUCGUUCGUCUCCUCUCUGCUUUUGCCUGGUGCUGGAGUUUGAUGACGAAGACAAUGGCGGAGAUGUGUUGAUUGGCCAAAACGACGUCGUUGUGUCCUUGGGCAUGGCUGUUUUUCACUUUAGUCCCUAAACAGUUUAAACUUAACAAUUGGGACCCUAAUAAAAAAUAAUUGAUUUUUUUUAAUGUAUUUUAAAAUUCCUUAUGAUUUUUUUACGAUCUGAGUUUGUAUAAGGCUUUCCGUGCCGUGUUAAAAUCGCGAUUUUAACAACCUUGGACUCUACUGCUACCAAGAUGAAUUAAAUUGUUCGGAAGACUUCAAGAAUACCCCUAACUAUAUUACUAGUUUCAAUUUCAUCCCCAAACAAAAUUUUAUUCCUUAAAUUUCAGUCAUUUUCAAUUAAAUCUUUCCAUUCAUGUUUGAUCAUGACUUCCAUUCAAAUCAUAACUUUCUUUUAAUAUUUUUCAUCAAUUAUAACUCUCUUUUUUUUUACCAUUGUUACUAUGUUCCUUCCUUGAGUUUAUAAGAUUUUUUUUAUACAUGAUUUUCUAAUAUUAUGGAACGUAGGAGUAAGAUCAAGCUUUCUACGAUUUGGAGAAAAUUAUUGUUCUAUUAGAAGAACUUCAUUGAAAAAUCCAAAUUAUUUGGGUAUAAAAUUAAUAGAAAAGGUUGUUUGGGGAGACAAUCGACACUACUCCAAUAAUUGGGGGGUAUAAUUGAAGUUUUCCCUAACUUGUUCGUUGAUCUAUGUGAAUUCCCCUAAAGUGGCCUUGUGAACCGACAAGUACUUUAGUUAAUUUGCAACGUGCUCUUAAAGACAUAGAGUAAAGGUUUGAAACAAGAAGUGGAGCUUUAUGGUAACUUCAUCUAGAUUAACAUAGCUGGUUCUUGAAGUGAUGGAAGUUGCAGAAGCUGGCAUGGCAAUCUAGAGAGAGACGUUAGAAACCUCUGACUUUCUAGCCCACCAGUACAGUGCACUCAGCUGCUCGCCAGAGUGUCCUUCUUUAGAGUUCGGACUUGUAGUUAGGCCUACACACUCGACAUCAUUUUGAUUUUGAUUUUGAUUUUGAUUGGAGUAUGGUUUAUUUUUGUUUAAUUAAACAUACCAUUUUCACCUCUCUUUUUUAGCAAUCCCAUUUCGACACAAGGCAUAUAUACUCUUUGAGGAAAUCUUCUCUCUGUGUGUGUCUAUAUAUACACAUAUAUAUAUACACCUUUAUUUUACAUUUGAUCAAAUCAUACCUUCUAUUUUAAAUUUAGUAAAAAUCAACCACUAAAAAUCAACCACUCUAUUUGUAAUAUUCGAAGACAAUUAGACAUCUUUUGUUCAAUCUUUUCAUGUCAUGUGGUUUUUAUUGGACCAUUUGCUAGUAAUAAAAAGUUGGACAAAGAAACCCAAAUCACUUUCGAUUGGAAAUGGUUUUGCCCACAUCAUAGAUUACAAGAAAUUAAAAUAAAAAAAAUACUAAGCAAGAUCAGAAAUCCUGUAGAUAAGAGUGCUUUCACUGUAGAUUUAAAAGUGUUUUAUGUUGAAUUUUUUUUUAUCUCGGGAUGUGUUUGGUUUAAUUUCUUCUCAGGUUUUGUAUGUGCGGUUGAGUUCUUGGCAACGUGGCUUCGUUGUUAUCAUAAUAUAUAUUAUACUUUGUGUUUUUGUCUCAAAAUAUUGUUAAGGCCAGACACCAACAUUCAGUUUUCCUCUCAUAUGAAUCUUCCCUUUCGACCAAAUAUCACCAAACCCUUCACUGGCCAUUGUUAUGCAUCACCAAACACAUUGCCUCUCUGUGUUAGAAAAAGGGUGGGGCUUUUUCAUUCGAGGAUCGCUUGUCAGCCAAGGAAGAAAGGUUUUUGAUCUCUUCUGUGCUUUGCUUUUAGUUUUUUUUAGGGUCAAUUGGCACGAGUAAUAUUUUUAAAACAGAAUUGUCUUCUACGGUGGUGUGUGCCCUUUCGCUUUCUGUUUUAAUAACCCAGAUUUUACAUGAUGAAUUCUGAUGAAGGACUCCAUGAUUGACAAGACAGCCAUGAGCAGUAGAUGAAGGCUACUUUUCAACUCGAAAGCCUUGGGGAAGUUUCUUGAUUCUUGCUGACAUAAUGGGAUAGUAUAUUAUCAAAAUAGUGUACUUGCAAAAGCUUGAAACUCAUCCCUUAAGAAGGAAAGAUUUAGACUAUACAUUUGAAGUUAUAGCACCUAAUCGAACCAUUGUGCAGAAUAUUGUGUUUCAACGCCCUUAGUAGUUCCAGCAACCUGCAAUGAUGCUUGAAUAAUUGCUAUCACAAUAACAUUUGUUCAUUUUCAUUCAUGUGCACCUUUAUACAUGGAUUUUCUAUAGUUUUUUCUUUUCUUUUCUAAACAUCCAUGGUGUUCAAUUAUGGAGUAUUAAGCGAAAAUUGAAUUUUUCAGGGGCAAAAUUCUUAAAGCAUCGAAGGAUUGGGCAGAGAGAAAUAUCCAAGUCAUUGUUGUUACUGAUGGUGAGUGUAUCUUCGGGCUUGGGGGUCUUGGCUGCCAGGUAUUGAUGCUCAUAAAUUUAUUUACAAAUUGGAUGUGCAAACCACAUCUUAUCUCCUAAGGAUGCAAUGGUUUUACAUUCGUUAAGGAUUGGGGAUUCUGGUCGGAAAACUCUCUCUAUAGACAGCAUUAGGAGGAUUAGUUGCCUUUGCAGUAAGGAUAAAUCUGCUAUCAAAUGUACAACAGUUUCAUUUACUUAUUUUUCUUCUAUUAUUUAGACACGCCUCAAUCACUGCGUUACUAGAGCUAUUAGUUGUCCUUUGCUAUUUAGUUACUAAAACCUUCCAACUGUAUUCAAUACAUACAGUGCUUGCUUGUAGCCAUUGAUGUUGGCACAGACAAUGAGAAGCUGUUGAAUGAUGAGUUCUGUAUUGGUUUUGGACAGAGGAGGGUAACUAGACAGGUAGAGUAAUUUUACUUUCUUCCAUUUCCAAUCGACUGAUAUUUCUUCUUUUCUUUUCUAGAUUUUAAAUCAUUCCAGGUCUCAAGAUUUGUGCUUGUUAUUUAUUGAUCUUUCUUUUGAAUAAUAUUGCUUUUGUAUUAAGUGAUGUGGACUGAAUUCUUUCUGGUCGAGCCAAUGGUUAAAGAAGAUCACUUAAAUAUUGCAAUCUCCAACUCCUAGGAUCCUUGCAUUCAAAGUCUUCCUCCCCUUAACUCUUGCAGUCCACUUCAGUGCAGCUUUGUCUUAAAAUCUUCUUUUUGUGGUCGAACUGAUUAACUUACUUGGUUCUUGGCUAAAUGGGUUGUAGACCAGGUGCAUUAUUUUAAAACUUGAUAAGGAAUAAACUGAGAAAAAUGGUACUAUUAUUCUUGAGUAGUUUUAUGGUGUUGCCAGUUGAACAUUAGCUAAUACAGAUGAGGGGCUCGAAGGACAACCACAGAAGAACAACAAAGAAGAGAAGGAAAUAGAAUUUAAUGAGAGAAAUACUGCAGUUUAAGUUGGCAGGUGCUUUUUUUUAUUAUUAUUAACGUGGAUGUUCCGAUUAAUUUGUGCGUACGUUAACUAAUUUCAAAGAUUUUAAAAUUAAUGAUUAUAUAAGUCUCUAUUAGCUAUGAAAUGACUCAAAUUCAUAAUCAUUAAACACUAAAUAUAAGAAUUAUACAGUUGAAUUACUCCUUGUAAUGAGGUUGGGUGCAUUUUAAUUAGUUAAAUUGUUGUGUUGGUCUCUUUUUUCUUCUUUUUUUUCCUGUCAUUUCUUUCCACUAAUUCAAUGUGCAGUGCUGCAUGAAAUGUUUGGUCUGGUCGAUAUUGGUUAAAUGUGGUGGUAUUUAAUCAUCAAACUUGCUCUAUUAGUAUGGUGUGAGCAAUUACACGAUGCCUUUGAGUGAAUGAAAAAACACUGAGGCAUUCAUGAAUUUUUUUUUUUUUUUAAAUCAUUGACUUUUUAGCGAGUGUUUUUUAUUAUUAUUAUAUUAUUAAAUAAAAUAUAAAAGAACGAAGUAAUUAAACAAGGCGAGGUUCAUGACCUGAGGCCUGUAUUUAACAGAUCUCAAUAUUUAAAAAACAAAAGCGAAUGCAUUUUGGAUUUUUUAAAAAAAUCUUAUUACUGCUUGAAAAAGCAUUAAUGCAUGCACGAAACUUUUUUUAUGCGUCGAAAGGUAAUAUGUGGUGGCGGGAAACCUAUCUAGUAAUUUUCUAUAAUAUUAAGGAAUUAGCCUUGCUGGAAUAAAAAAAAGGUAAUCUCUUCUUUGAUUUUCUAAGUUUGAUGUGAACAUUUUAAAGCAAUUCAUUUGUUCUAAAUGUACAAUAAUGAUAUUUUCAUUAAAAAUUCUAAGAUACAUGAAAAUAAAGUUUUUUUGAUGAUUUGGUAAUGUGUCUUAUUAUCUAAUCAAUUCUCCGGCUUGAUGUAGAAAGCUUAGUAACUACAAAACAGUUAUAUUUUCUAUGAAUUUAAAGAUUUUUAGAUUCUCAAGUCAAUAACUACGAUAACUUAGAGAGAGUCAAAUAAAUAUGCAAAAGAUAACUAAAUUACAAUUAAUAAAGUCAGAGAGAGUCAAAUAAAUAUGCAAAAGAUAACUAAAUUACAAUAAUAAAGUAGUUUGUUUUAGUUUUGGUAUAUGUAAUCAAUGCUUUUUUAUAAGAGAAAAUGAUAUCAUUUAUAUAUGUUGAGAAUGGAGAAAUUAUUAAUUUUUUAUCAUUGUGGUUUAUAAAGUAUUUAUACCUCUUAAAUCUUAUCAUUUUAUUUAAAUGAGAGGGCUGAAAAAUCAUCUCACCUUGAAAACAAUAAUGAAAGAAUGCUUGUUUUUGCAUGUUUAUAGAUUUUAAAUUGUACACAUUCUAGGCUUACAUUGAACAACCUUUUUUAUAUUUUAUAUGUUUUUGUUAGGAUAAACUAAACAAUCUUUUUUAUAAUAGUUUUAUAAACUAAACAACAUUACUUACUAGUCUUAUAAUAUAUUCAACAAACUUUUGAUUUACAUAGUUUAAGUAUAAGCUUAGAAAAAAAAACAACUUUUAAUUAAAUAGUUUUGUCUUUGUUUCCCUUUUCAUGGUGCCUUUUUGCAAUUUCUUUCCUCUCUCAGUCUUCAUCUACAGUGCUAUUUUAUACAUAAUUCUCUCUAUUACUAUUAAAAAAAUAAUGAUAACUAUUUAAAUAUAUAAUAAGAGAUGCAAAGUGUUUUUAUACGAAGACAGUGGCAUUCAAUUGUCUGAAGAAAGAGGGGAAAAAACAUCACAAGCAGAGAGCACUUCUUGCUUCGGGGUACCCCAUGCUCAACGCUGUUUGCUUCAGUUUAACAAGAUUUUUAUGCCUUAGACCGAGUCCUCGGCUAAACCAGGUUUUAGGAAGAGGAGGUUUUAACCACAGAGAGAAAGAAAAUGCAUGUACUAUGCAAUAUCUAACAGCCAAAAAAAAAGAGUGUAAAAUCAUGAAUCUGAAAUCAGAAGACAAGCAAUUAAAGCUUAUGCAUCAAUGAAAUAAACAAAAAACAUUAAGAUACAACAAAAUCCAGUAUAGAUAGCAGAAUCGGACGAAAAAAUGUUUGAAGGAAAUUGAAGUACAACAUUAGAAGGAACUAAAUACCCCUAUUGAACUGCUACAACUCAGUUACAAAUAUAGCACUGAUCUAUAACACUACUGCAGAAAUAGAAGUGUAAGAGCACAAGUUAUUUUAAUUGUUCAACACAUGGAAUUUUGUGUCAAAACUCAAAAUAGUAUGUGCAUGGUUCACAUGUAAAUGAUUUCGAAUUUUGGUCCUCUAGGCUCUAGCGAGCAUGGAUGUCUUAUUCUGGUUCAACCUGCCACCUGAAAUAUACACCUUCUCCGAAACUGUUGAGACUCUGAAUAAAAUCCUGACAGCAUGCAAUUCCUCCUCAGUUGCAUCAAAUGAGUGGAUCUUGACGAUCUUGAGUUGUGUCAAGAAACAAGGAGGCACUGGAUCCAAUGCGAGUUUUUAAAUUUCGAAAGAUACCCUGCAAAUCAACCAAACAUUUCAAACUAAAUAUCGAAGCUUAACCCCAGAUAACCACAGUAGAACCUAUUUGGUGGUUAGAAAAUAUAUCAUACCAUUCGGAAAUCAAGACAGUCAAGAUAAGGCAAUUUCUGUAGGAAUCUAUGUGGUGUUCUGGAAGAUAAAUCCACACAGUUCCCCUUCAAUUCAAGAUGAGUCAAUCUCUGAAACACUGGAAUAUCUAUUUCUUCUGCAUAAGCAAGAGCCUAGAAAUCCAAAACAAAAUAGCGAGAAAUUCAUAAUUCCAAUAGAAAAACUCCAUUUUGUUUAAUAUGACUUCAAUCUUUAAAAAGAAGUAGAGCAAAACAACCUUGUAUUAAUAAGAAGCACUGUCCUAAUGAAAUAAUUAACUGACUUCUAUUCCACCGGAAACAUAUAGCACCAAGUGUUUUUUUUUUUUCUUUCAUAGGCCAUGGAAUGCAUGAAAACAAUUAAUAAUAAUAGGCAUACAAGAGAACCAGAACCAGCUGACUUAUAAUCAAGAAACCAAAAUCAAAACCAUGCCAUUGUUUCUUCAAUGCAAGAAAACUCCACUUUGAUAGUAUCAUUAAGGACCGUAGUAGUAGCUAGCAGCAUCUGAAAAUACAAAAGCCCUGCCCGUGUAUAAUUGACAGAGAGAGAGCUGCUCAAUCAAAGGCUACAAUUUUUAUUUCAUUUAUACAAGUUUUCUGUACAUUGAUUCAUUUACAUAAUGAGUCCAGCUUUCAAAACUCACUGAAUAAGAUGAUUCUGGGCAAUCCGUAAAUUGAUACUAGGGAUGACAAUGUAGAACAUUUAAUUAACGUUGCAGUAACAAGAAACAGUUCAUAUCAUUUCGAUCCAAAAAGUUCUAUACAAAAUCUGUAACAACAUGCUCUGCAAGCUGUUCCGAGCCUUAUCGUCCAGCUAAAAUCGUCACUUGACUUGACGGACCUGAUAUUGUUAAAAGCACACCAUAUUAAUGAUCACUAGGCAAGACAAGAAGCUCCAACAUCUUACCGUCUUUUCUCACUUUCUUCUCCUUGAUAUAUGAUAACCCAGGUAUUGCCUCCUUACCAAUCAUGUCAAUUAUACUGAUCUUGAGAAGGGCAAGCAAGCAAGGUAACAAUGUAGAUUAAUUAUUUUUAUCUGCUAGCUUAACUUUGAAGCUUCUGUUUUUCCUCUGUUGCUUGCUCUAACGAUUGAUGGUUUGCUUAAUAUCUUGAUUAUCAACAAGAAUCAGCUCUAAUAUCAACAAGAAUCAGCUCUUUGCUAGAAUUCCUGGUAUGUAUUAUGUAUUAUCUUGAUGGCUUUAAACUUAAAAAAAAAAAUGCACAUAUUAAACUGUUGCUUUUAAUGUGAUAUAUGUAGAUCAAUCUCUUUUUUUAAUCUAUGCUCUUAGUCUUAUAAGUUUUAAAAGAAAAGCUACAUAUAGAUUUUAGGGUGAGAGGAAGCAGGAUUAGGUAUAUGGUUGAAUAAAUUUUGAAAACAUUUUUUUUUCCUGUUUUGUAUAUCUAUUUUUGGGUUCUAUUGGUGGUUUAUCUGGACAAGUGUUGGUCUCUUGAUUCUCUCUUUUUUUCUCUUGCUUCCGAAAAGGACACGCGAAAAGGACAGGAUCUAUUUAUUUUUUUCUCUUGCUUCUAGUUUUGCUUCCACAUGUUGUCGCUGGCCUGGGCCAUAGUGGCCUCUUUAACUACUUUCGUUGAAUGAUAAAUCCUUUCGUUGUCCUCUUCCAAUUUGCUCCAUAUUCAGUGUUUUUCGUUCUUUUAUUGGUUAUUUAGAUCGUGUCCUUUUCGGGACCAGUUAAAUCUUCCACUUUUUUCUGACUCGACAUGAUUUUCUCAUAUUUAUCAUCUAAUCUAAUAGUGUUAUAUUCUUGACAUUAAAUAAGCCGUACCUGACAUUGCAACAGUUUUAAAAUUAAUCCUUCAAUUAUAUAUAUAUAUAUAUAUAUAUAUAUAUAUACAAACAUAUUUCUAACCUCUAGUUCUUUUAAAUAAAAAUAUCUUGUUUAAAGAAUCGUCAUCUAAUAUUAUAAUGAUUAGAAACCCUAACUGGUCAACAGAGAUUCUAUGAUACGAGACUGGUUAUGUAAAAGAGAAAAUAUUAUCACCCCUUAAAUAUUUUGCUUGAGACAGACUGCAUUGCUUAUUUUGUCUUAAAUUGCUAAAUAUUUAUUAGUUUAUACUAUGAUGGUUUACUAAUAAUAUUCUUGACUCUUGUGCUAGUGAAUAUUCAACUACGGAUAAUUUCAACUCUAGCGUUGGUAAAUAUUACAUAGCUAUAAAAUAAAUUAGAUCAAUACUUUUGAAUUUUCUGACUCUAAUGCUAGUGAAUAAACAAAUAAAAUAAAUUUAUUUUUAAGCAUGCACAUAUUUUUUUAUUUUUUUGGCUAAAUAAAAUAAACUAUAACGAAUAUAAAUAAUAUAAAUUUAAACCAGCAUUUUAUCCCCGACUUUGGCGUCGGUGAAUAAACCAAUAAAUUUUUAUUAUUUUUAUUCAUGCAUAUACAUAUUUUUUUCUAUUUUUUCCCUUUAUUUUGAUGCUUUUUCAAUGUAGUCCUUGGAUUUUAAUUUCACAAUUUGGACCCCAAACCUUAAUAUUUCAUCAAUUAAGCCCUUGAAUAAGUUAAUUCCAAGCUCAAUUAAAUCUAAAACUUGUCAAUUCUUCAAUUAAACCCUUGAUUGGAUUAAUUAAAUCAAUUACAAGCUUAAUUAAGUCUCAAAACUUAUCAAUUCUCCAAUUAAACCCUUGAUUGGAUUAAUUAAAUUAAUUUCAAGAUUAAUUUAGUCUCAAAAUUUAUCAACUCUCCAAUUAAACCCUUGAUUUGAUUAAUUAAACUAGUCAAGAAUUUAAUUAAAUCUUUAAACUUCUAAUCAUGUUACUUUAACCCAAAUUUUAAUUUAUUUUUUAUUUAUUUUAUUUUUACUUGAUUUUUAGUUUUUUUUUUCAGUAAAUAAAAUAAUAAAAUAAAAAAGUCAAAAAAUAAGUUAUGACAAGACACAUCGAUAAUGAUAAAUACUUUCAUGUGCAUGUUUUUCGCUUUCCAUUAACCAAUAAUUCUUCUCACCCGUGUUCACUUCUCCGACUUGCACAAGGUUUAGCUACUUUUUGUCAGAAACAGAUACUCUAGAUUCUUGUCCGUACCAUCUAGUUUUAGCCACCAACCAUUCUUCCAAACCGGUGGAAAAACAUUCCACACAUAAAUAUAUCAUUGAAAGCACAGACACGUAUAUAACCUCAAUCCACUAAACCCAUGUAAAAAUUCAACAUCCAAGUACUGUGUCAAUCUAAGAAGAUCCUUUUCUUUUCCCUAAACAAAAUAUUUAUAAUAAAUCUAAUCCAAACUCGAUUAUAUUAGUAUUGAAAAAAAUUAUAAGAAAGGCGAAUUAAUACAUAUUAUUUUUUAGCAUAUUUUAUCAAGCAUGUCUAUUUAACUUUGGCUUUAUAAUGCAACUUAAAAUUAAAGUUUAAAGUAUCCUGAUUUUAAUAUCAAAGUUAAACUAAAUUGUAUCAAUCAAUGUGUAAAUAAUUGAUCAAAAUAAAUCUUAAUCUUAGCAUAAAAAGACUUUUCAUUUGCAACAUAAAUCUAUAGAGAUUGAAAGUUGGCAAUGAAGCUGAUGGUCUAUGAAUUAGGACAUCCAAAUACCUGCAACAUACAGAUUUAGCUGUAGAGAGUUCUUUUCUCUUUUUUUACCCAUAAAUCUGACUAAUUACCGGCAAGCUAAAGAUAUUAUAUUUUCUAGUUUUUAAGCUCACGAAACCUUUUUAAAAUUUAUUUAUUUUCGAGUCAUAACACUUUUAUCAGGCUGUCCUACGACCUUGUGUCACCCCGGUUUUUGUAGUUAUUUGUCGGCGGACAUCCUUUGAUUCAAUGGUGAGUCACAUUUAAAGAUUUCAUAGUUUUAUCGAUGGAAUAAUUAUUUUGGUGUUACAUUCAGACUUUAUCAAUAAAUUUUUUAUUAACUAACUCAUCGACAGAAGUAUUCAUUAGCAUGUCUUUUAUAUCCCACAUUCUAUGGCUAAGUCUGUUGAUAAAAAAAAAAUUACCAAUGGUUUUACAGAUAAAAAAUGCAUGUCAAAAAAAUAAAUUUCUGUCUAAAAUAUACCGACGAAUAUAUUUCGUUGGUGAUAGUGGCAUAUACAGUAAUAUUUUUCAACUCUCGGUAAAGUGUUGACGGACUUUACCUGUAUAUGAUUGUGGCAUUUCCAGUAAAUAUUUUUUAUCCAUUUGUAAAGGCGCCGGUGAUUGUGGUAUUUUUAAUUAAUAUUUUGCAACUUUUUGUAAAAUACCGACGGAGACAUUCUGCCUGUAAAUCCAUCGGUUGGGUUUAAAAAAAUAAAAAAAAUUAUUUAGAAUAAAUAAUAUAAAAUUAUAUAAAUUAAUAGUAAAAAAGCAAUUAUGCAAAUAAAAUUUUAUUAAAAAUAAAAAAUACAAAAAUAAAGUUAAAUAAUAUUCAUUACAAAUUUAAUGUGUUUCUAAAAAAAUAUUAAACUAGAACAAUGACGAAGCUGGAGGAGGAGGAGGCUGGUUGUUGUAUAACCCAUAUGUGAUGUAAUGUUCAUGACCAUUUAGCGAAAUUGUUCAUAAUUCGCAAAGAGUUGCUCGUAUUUUUCGAUGAGAUGAGUCGUGUGGUGCUCUAAGGCCACGAACUUCUUAGAUUGGGUGCUCGAUACUGAUUGGGAGCUCCUAAAGGUUGAGACACAAUGGGUCGUCUGCAAGUUCUCGAUCGUAGUGUUGGAGAGUCCAUAAACCCGAUUUUUAUCGGGUCCACCGAACAAUCCUACCUCCAUCCACAAAUUUGAAUCGAAAUCCGGAUGGGUCAAAGGAUCGUCAUCAUAUCUCUCCCUCAAUCAGCUAUUAUAGGUCUCCUGAAAAUAAAUAAAUAGAUCAUCAUAUUCAAUUCAAUAAAAAUAAUAACUUACAAAAUAAAAUGGUUGAAUGAAUAUACCACAAAGUGUUGAGCGCAGUUGUCAACAAACUAUUGCACCUUUUUUUGGCGGUAUUCACUCUGCACGUGCGUCUCUACAAACAGUUCCAUUCGGCUUGGCUCACGUCCAAAAAACGUAGCAUGUGAGAAAAAAAUUAAUUAAGUAACAACAAAUUAAUUAACGAUAUAUUUCAUUUAAAUUAAUCUUACCAUAUGUUUCGCAUAUGCAACAAACGGAAUUGAGUCCCUAGUGUGCGUUGUCGCCGAACCAUGAAUUUGCCGAUUCUGGUUGCCAGCACCAGAUUGUGAGCAUCGUGUGAACCGCUCAGACGUCACGUGUUCAAUAUAUUGCAUCCAUAUAUCUCUCAGGAUGUAUAACAGUUUGAAAUCCCUCCAAACCACCACGUUGUUCCAGCUUUAGAGAUCGUUAUCUCUCGCUUUUUUUUUUGCCUUUUUUUAUGCUUCAUACCAAAAAUCACGCAACCUACUUCAAUAGUGACAAAUUAGAUUUUUAGACAUAAUUUUUUAAAAAAACAUAUUGUAUUGUUUUUGAUGUUAUCCAGUUGCCGUGUGAUUUUUCCACACCUUUCUCGCAACAUUGUCAAGUGCGUUGUCCCACUCGAAUUUAUGUUAUGUAUAAAUAAUUUAUUUAAAAUAAAAAUAAUAAUUUAUUUACAAUUAUAAUAAUAAUUUAUUAAAAAUAAGCUGAAAAUUAAAAAUUAACACCAACCUCAAAUUUGUCAAAUCGUGCAUCAAUAUAAGGUCUUCAUUCAGGAUGUUUGGAAACUCAACUCCAUUGAAAUAAUAAAAUUUUUAUCAACGAUUUAAAUGCCGAUGAUAUUAUUCGGGUGGCCUCAAUAUUUAUAAACCUAAAAAUAAAUUAAAUUAAGUAAAUUGCUAAACCCAACAUGCAUGUAGAAACAUCGACAGCACAAGUACUCUGUCGUGAAGAUUGUUUUCUUUUAGCUAAACUAAAUAUUGAUAAUAAAGUUACGUAUUUUACAUAUUAUUUUUAUAUAAAUAUAUAUUUAGUAUAUUUUAACACGCAUGUCUAUUUAAGUUUGGCUUGUGAUGCCAACUUAAAAAGCUUUAAGUAUUUUCAUAAUCUAAUUUUAAAUUUUUUCAAAAAUGAAAAAGAAAAAAGAAAAAAGAAAAGUAAAAAAGAAAAAGAAAAAUAAUACUCUAAAUUAAUCAGAUAUAUAAUGAAUAAUUUAAGGUUUUAUUGAAGAAAUAUUGGAAAAUGAAGUUAACAACAGUUAAGUGGUCACAUUACUGCUUUUCUUUCCUCUCUGUAAAUUAAUUGAGAUUUAGACCUCGUUUGUUUGAUGGAAAGUACUUUUUUAAAGUGAAUUUUGAAAAAGUGAAUUAUGGAAAAGUGAAUUAUUUUUCGAUGUUUAGUAGUGGAAUGAAAAAUAAGUUGGAAAAUAUUUUCUAGUAUUUGGUUAUGUCAUAGAAAAUGAGCUGUAAAAUAACUUAUUAAUAUUUUAUUUUUUUCAAAUUUAUUAAAAUAACGAGAAACAAAUCUUACAAAUUAAAAAGUUGAAUGAGAAUGAAAUUAAAAAUAUAUAUAAUUUCAUAAAUUAUCUCAAAUAAAACAAAUAAUAAUAAAAAUAAUAGAGAUCAAAUCUAAAAAAAUAAAGAAAUUAAAAGAUAAAGAAAUUAAAAUAAUAAUAAUUAUCAUUUUAUAAAUUAUUUCAAAUAAAAUAAGUAAUAAUCAAAAGAAUGAAGACCAAAUUUAAUAGAUAAAAAAUUUCAAUUAAAAAAUAAUAAGGAAAAAACAAAUAAUAAUUAUAAAAAUGAAGACCAAGUUAAUAUAAAAGUCAAAUUCUAAGGGAUAAAAUUAAAAAAACAAUAUUCAAAACAAAAUAUAUAUAACAAUUUAAGGUUUGAGGAUCAAAUUUGAUAUAAUCAAUAAAUAAUAUGAUAUUUUUAAAAUUUUAACAACUUUCAAAAAAUACUUUUCAUCCAAAAUAAAAAAAAAUACUUUCCUGAAAAUCAAGUUAAUUUUUUCUUUGACUAGAUAGUAAUUUUUGUUCAUAAACUUUUCUAAUGAAAAACUAACAAAAAUAAAUUUAAAAAAUAAUUUACAAAAAAAACCAUUUUUUACCGAGUUGUGACCACUUUCUACCGGGAUGUGUCAAGUCCAUUCAUUUGGGACGAAAAUGACACCUGUGACAUCAUGAUACAGCGAAUCUAAUUGCAAAGAGCACAUCUAAACCCAUCUUUUUAAAGAGUACAUACCCCCUCUUGCUCCGUUACACUGUGAUCAGCCAGCUCGAACUCUCCAGUCUGCACUCUUAACUCACAAUUCACCGAAAGCAAACUAUCUCAUAUCAUCCUUAACUCUCCCCUACCCAUUUAGCUCUAUCAUGGCCACCGUGAUUAUACGUAAACGACUCACUCCCACAGACAUCAAAUCUUGUCUGUCUUAUCCCGCUCGUACACUCUGGGCAUUUCCGAUGGUCGAGGGUCAAACGGCUAUUUGGUUUCAAGCAAGAGAUCCCACCGGGAAAGUUUGGAACUUUGAGCUCUCUAAACGGCCUCAUGGCUAUCUAAAACCCGUCAUCAGAGGUGACUGGUUGAACUACGUCCGUGAGAAGGGCCUUACAGUUAGAGAUGUUAUCGUCCUAACAAGGGAACAAGAUAUUCAGUAUGAAGUAACCUUCCACAUCAAAGUUGAACCAGAUUUGAGACUCACCUUGAAGACAUUUAAUUCUUCGGCUUAUGAGGUGAUCACCUUACUCUUGAUGUGUCAUUUAUGCUUUGCUUCUUUCGAUCUGGUUUCAGAUCCCCUAGAGAGUCUUCAACUUCUAGGUUUGGUUUAGUCUUGGGUUUAUUUAUUAUAAUCUUUGACGGCAUGAUACUAUAAUCGAUAUAGUUAUACACUCACAUAAGUUGAGUCUACUCAGUGUUCGAGUCUACUCUACUUCUGCCUUUCUUGGUCUCUAGCAGUUCUCUCAGCCAUUGAAUCUCUCUCUCUCUCUCUCUCUCGCUCUCUCCCUCCCUCCCUCCCUCCCUCGCUCCCUCCCCCCCCCCUAUGGAACUUUUCCUGAAGUUUUUGCUGAUUUUUUUGGUUUGUGCUAAAAAGAAAUAAAAAAGAUACAGCCUUUUGGAUGUCAAGUCUGAUAAGUUGUUAGAGUUGUGGAUUGUGAUCUCUUUGUUCAGCUUUAGAAUUAGCAUAAAUUUCAUGGAUUUGACCAAGAUAAAAGCUUUGACUGGAGUCUCUUUUGUUCUCUUGAGUUUAUUGGGAUGCUGGAGAAGACAAUUGAUGAUGGCUAAAGAUACCAUGAGGGUGGAAACUCUGAGCUAUAGUAAUUGAGUCUCUUAAUGAUUUGAUUUUUUAGUGCAUUUUCUUGAGUUCUUGUUUGUGCUAUAAAAAAAUAUACCUCUUGAUUCCUACAUAGCUAUGCAUGUCAUUCCUACAACGACUAACACAGACUCUGACCAGACCCCUUUUUUAUACGAAAUGGUGUAAAAGUAAAACAAUUGACUGAAAGAUUUUGUCGUAAGAAAAAAUCAAUUCAGCCAUUUGGGUGCAUAUUCAGAUAAGUUGAUAGAAUUGUGAUCUCCAAUCUCUCUGUUGAUAUUGAGCCUUUGAAUUAGCACAGCCAUAAAUUUCAUGAAUUUGACAAAGAUAAAAGUUUUGACUAAUUGAUUCUUUUCUGUUCUUAUUCAGAUGCUGGAGAAAAAAAUUGAUGAUGGCUCAAGAUACCUGGAGGGUUAAAGAUGCAGAAUACAAGUAGGCGUGCAGGGUAUGCAGUUGAGACAACUUAGGGGAAAAGCUUUUGCAUUUUGCAUUUUUUGUAUCAACUGUUUUUUAUUAGUUGAAGGGCAUGCCAUGUGCGAACGAUAAUGUCUGUAUACCCCAAUACCUGGAGGGUUACUUUUUUUUAUCUGCUUAUGGGUCUUUAUAUGGAUAGCAUCUACUAUAUGUGCAUGAGGAAUUGUGAAAAUUGUGUAAAUCGCUGCAUAAUGUUAGUUUUUUUAUUAGCUUUGAGAUAUAUAAUCGUUAUCUUGAAGCAAAAACGUUAGACUGUCCGAUUUUUCUUUUUUCGUUGCAUCAUUGACGAUUUGAGUAUGAACUGAGUAAUCCAUAGCGUUUAAAUCAAAUAUUGAUAUAAAACAUUAAAAAAUAAUUUUGAAAUAACCACGGAAUAAACGGUGACUAAGGUUUUUUCUUUUAACAACAACAAUUAAAACAACAAUUAAAUUAAGUUCUCUAUAGAGAUGAUGAAGGAGAACAAAUUAUGAUGAAUGAUGAAUGAUGAGAGGCGUCGACGUGUAUAAAAGGAAAUUGCGACUCGAAAGAACUAGCCUACUGAAUUUUUAAGUCAUGUCGGCUUGGUGCGCCAUGCAGAUGCAAUAUUUGACUUGUUUGCCCCCAUGGGCAUAAUGUUAAGGGUUCUAUUUCUCUUCUGUUAUAGGUUGUGUGUUAGUGCCACUGGCGGAGCCUCAGGGGGGAUUGCCCCCUUAAAUGUUUUUGAAUAAUAGAUAUUAAUUUAAUUGUUUUGAAUUAAUUAAAAUUUAUAUUAUUUUUAAUUGAAUUAAUAAAAAUAUGAAAUUAAUUUUUUUUAUGAGAUCGAUGAAUAAGCAAAUAUUUUAAUUAUUGUCAGUGAAUAAAAAUUAAUAUUUACAAAAUAAAAGGUUGGUUUAAAAAAAAACUAUUUUUUUGUUUUUAAAAAUGAUUUAUCAUGAUAAAUUUAAACUAUCAAUGUUGAUCCAUAUCUAUGCAUUAUAUACAACAUGUUAUAUGGUAAUGAGUGUGUGAAAUGAGUUGUGAUGAAUUAAUGUGUAUUUUAUCAUGAAUUUCAUAUAAAAAAUUUAUAAUUAUUAUGUAACUGAACUUAAUUUUGUUAUUAUGAAAACUUAAAGAGAAUGAUUAUAAUGUAAGUUUUUUUAUGUUAAAAGUAUUUUUAAAUUAAUUAUGCUUUAUAUGAGUUGGUAUAUUUAUUUCAAAUUAAUUUUCAAUACAUAUCUAUAUAAUAUAUUUGCCCCUUCAUUUAAAUACCUAACUUAGUGGUAGAGGUUUAUAUGUUUUUUACUUAUAAAUAUAAAAGCUUUGACUAAUUCAAUGGUCUCCAAAAUCAUAUCCCCCUCAUGCUUGAUUGUUUUUUAUUUUCCUUUUUUUAUUUAUUAUAUGGUACUAUUCAUCACAAAAAUUCAUAAUUCUUGUUCAGAUUAUCAGAAAAUACUAAAAAUUUACACGGAGCCUUCUAAUAUAAUGCUUUAGCUUGAGUUAAAAUUUUAGAAGUUUUGGAGAAAUUCAAAAAUUUGACGAAAAAUCAUAAUUUAACCAGUUUUACGUUAUUGGACGUAAUUUUCAAUUCAACUAUCAGAUUGAGCUGAAAUUCUUUGAGGGAUAUUUAAAUAUAUUGAAUAAAAUCUUAUUAAAAUUUUAGAAUGAAAGGAGCUUGGUAGUGCUAACAAAGAAAAAUGACCGUCAAAUAGAAGCAAAAAGACUCAUUAAGGGUAAAAUGGUUAUUUGCUAUUAAAAAAUAAAACAAAUAAGCUCCUCCUUUUAUAUGCUGCCGACUGGGCAGAAGCAGAAUAGAAAAAGAAAGAAAAGAGAAAGAUAGAAAAGUAAGGAAAAAACAUAGGAAAAAACAAUCUAAGGAAAAAAAAAAGAAGUAAGAAAAUAACCUCGUAAACUUACAAAGUCCAACUUAUAAAACACUAAUCUAAGAAAGAAUCAAGUAAAUGAAGAAGGGAUUGAGAGAGAGAGAAAAAUUAAUUACUUUAUUCUCCAAUUGACAUUAGAUUAUUAUUUUAUCCCGGUUGAGAAGUUAUUACAAUAUCAAUUUAGAUUCAAUUAUAAAUGAAUUUUAUUCAAUAAAAUAUCAAAAGAUGUAACUUUGAUAGUAAAUUUAUUUUUACUUUCACUUCAACUUUAAAUUUAUUUUUUAAUAUUUUGAAUAAUAUAUUUGAAUUAAGAUUUUAUUGAUAACUUCUCAAAUUUAUAUACAUGAGUUAAUAAUAUAUAUAUAUAUAUAUAUAAUAACUCAAAACAGAAAAAAUUCCUGGCUCUUCGUUGCCUCCAUCCAUGCAAGAAUCCAAGCUUCCAGAACAAGCGUUUCUCUGGGAAUGCAUGUUUUUAACCCAUUUCCUACUUUCCCAUUCUUGAUAUUCUACUUAAAAUAAAACUUGGCUAUUAUUAUUUUUAUAUUUAUAUGUAAUUGAAUUUUAAUCUGUUUUUUUUUAAUUAAAAGUUGAUUAUUUUAUUGAAUUUAAUAUCAUAAAUAUUAAAUGAUGUUCGAGUUCUAAUUCUUCACAUGUGCAUAAAAGUUUUAAUUUAUUAUAAUUUUAAAUUAUAAAAAUACAUUGAAAUAACUUAUAUAUAUAAAUUUUUGUGAAAAAUAAAAAUAUUUAAUUCGUGAUAGAGUAUGAACCACAUAGCUAGUAGUAACUAAAUGGUGGGAUCUAACUUAAAAUGCCAUGCACAUGGUAUAACGGAAAUUGCGACACGAAAGAGCUAGACACUGCAUUGAUCCUGUCAAGUCAUGUCGGCUUGGUGCCAUGCACAUGUUGAGGCUCUCUAGCUGGAUUUAUUUGAAUUUUUUUGUCUCCAUAGCCAUAGCCCAUAGGCAUGACGCAUAGAUUUCAAAACAAAUCAGCUUUUCUCAAAUGGCACUGAUAGAUUUCAAAACGGUUCGAACUCAAACCCUUUAUCGCUACAAUGAUAUAAACUAAAUUCUCACUACUUAGUUUAAAGUAGCAGUGGGAAUAGAAGGGACGCUGCUAUUACUAUAAAUAAAUGUCAACUAAAUCAAAUUAUAUUUAAGGAAGAACUUCAAUUUAAGCCCUAAUUUAUAAGUGGAGGAAAAUUUACUAAAACUAUUUUUUUUAGUAUAGGUUGAAAUAUAUUUCGACAUCUUUGAUUCUAAUUUAUUAGGCCUAAGAGUGAGAAAAAAACUGAAUAACCGAUUAAAUCGAGAAUAUUAAAAAAAAAUAAUUGAAAAAAUCAAACCGAAAAAAAUCUGAAUUAACUGAUUAAAAAAUCAUAAAAAAUUUAUUGUUCAGUUUGAUUUUGGUUUCGGUUUCUAAAGUUUGAAACCGAUUAAACCAAAUCAAACAAAACCAGUUCAAUCAGGCCAGCACUAAAAAAAAAAAACAAAUAUAAAUAGUAUAUUUUUUCUAAUUCUAAAUCUAAAUGCAUUUUUAACAACCCCUUCUUGCUGCUCUCAGUCUCUCAUCUCUUAAAUCUAUCUCUUCUCCUUCAUGCAUUCUCAGUCCUGUGUCAAUUUGGGUCUCUUUCUCUUCUCUAAAGGUCGGGUAAUGGAUUUUUCUGGGCUUCUUAAAUUUUGCUUAUUCUUGUCUAAUCUCUUUGAGUAUUUCUCUCUCUAAGUAUUUCACUUCUGUUGCAUGGGUUUGCUCUUCUUCUUUUUUCUUAUUUAGUUGGUUCAUAUUUACGGAUGAUAAUGUUGCUUUUUGUGAUUUAGAUUUUGGGUUUGUUACAUAAUGAUUUUUUAAAACAAUAUAUUUUUUUAAAUUAUCUAUGUUGAUUUUAUUUUUUUAAUAUUGAGUUUAUUGAGAAUUUAGCUUUAUAAUUUUUUUUUUAUUUAAAAUACUUUGAAUUGUUGCAGUGUUUUUCCAUAUGAAUUUUUUAUGAUUUUUUCUAAAAUUAUCUUUGUCGAUUUUAUUGGAGAAAUCACUAUAGUUUUCCUCACAAAACAUUGUCAAUUGCUACAAUGUUCUUUCUCAUGGGUUUUUUUUCCUUCUAAAAUUAUCUUUAUUGGUUUUUUUUUAAUAUUAAAUUGGUUGAGAAUUUAGCUUUGUAAUUUUUUUUAUUUUUAUUAACAGAAAAGCUAAAUCAUAUGGCGAAAGCACUGUAUCUUUCAUCACAAAACACUAUGAAUUACUACAAAUUAUUUUGUUCAAUCUCUAAGUGUUUGAUCACGUACCAACAUAACUUUUUUUUCCGUAAAAAAAUAUUAACUCCAUCAUAUUUUUAGUUUUCAUUAUUUUUUUAGUAUUGAUUCAUAAUUACAACACUAUUAAAUACAUUUGUUUUAUAAACUCACAGCAGCCCGUGUACAUGCUAUCUCGUUUCUUUUAGAUUUUGUAGGGUCCCCAUGUGGGUCUCAAUACAAAAUUCCAAAACGAGAAUAAUGUACGAAAAGUGAGGUUAGAUGGAGAGGAAGAUCAUUGAAAUCUGGGAUAAAAGACAUGUAUUUGCUCCACCUGAUAUAAAAUCAGCCACACCUGAGGAGGACACCACAAUAUCUAUUUAGACCCCGUUUGUUUGCUGAAAAGUAUUUUUUUUUUGAAAAGUGAAUUUCGAGAAAGUAAAUUAUUUUUUGAUGUGUUGGUAGUGUAAUGAAAAAUAAGUUGGAAAACACUUUUCAAUGUUUGGUUGUGUCAUAGAAAAUAAGCUGGAAAAUAACUUAUUUAUGUUUUUUUUUCAAGUUUAUUAAAAUAAUGAGGAACAAAUCUUACAAAUUAAAAAGUUGAAUGAGAAUGAAAUUGAAAAAAAAAAUAUAAUUUUAUAAAUUAUCUCAAAUAAAAUAAAUAAUAAUCAAAAUAAUAGAGAUCAAAUCUAAAAAACAAAAAAAAUAAAAGAUGAAGAAAUUAAAAUAAUAAUAAUUAACAUUUCAUAAAUUAUUUCAAAUAAAAUAAGCAACAAUCAAAAGAAUGAGGGCCAAAUUUGAUAGAUAAAAUUUUUUAAUAAAAAAAUAAUAAAAGAAAAACAAAUAAUAAUUAUAAAAUAAGGACCAAAGUUAAUAUAAAAAUUAAAUUUUAAGAGAUGAAAUUGAAAAUAAAUAUUAAAAAAAAAAAAUAUAUAUAUAUAUAUAUAUAUAGCAAUCAAAAGUUUUAGGACCAAAUUUGAUAUAAUCAACAAAUAAUAUUAUUUUUCUAAAUUUUUCACAACUUCCAGAAAAUGUUUUCCGCCUAAAUUUUCCAGGAAAACACUUUCCUGGAAACCAAGCUAAAUUUUUCUUUGACUGGAAAAUGUUUUCCGUUUACUAACUUUUCUAAUAGCAAACAAAUACAAAAAAAAUUUGAAAAACUGGAAAAUGUUUCCGUUGACCAACUUUUUUAAUGACAAACAAAUACAUAAAAGUUUUAAAAGUGAUUUCCAGGAAACCACUUUAUGAAAACACAAACAUAGUCUUAGUAAUUUAUUACAUGGAUGAACAAGUAAUGUUGUUCAUAAUAUCGUAAUCAUUUUUUUUUUAUGAUCAACUACAUUAAAAAAAAUCCAAUGAAAACCAUAAUAAAAGACUUGUGCUUCUUUAAAAGAAUAGAAAAAAGAUUAUGUAUUAUUAGAAACGGAUGAGUGUAGAAAUACAUUAAAAUGAAAGAAUAAAGUACAAAAUAAAAAAUAUAUAUGAUGUGUUAAUAGUUUAAUGCACACAGAAACUACAAAAGUACAUAAUUUUUUUUAUGUGGGAUAAUCCUAACAAUCUUUGUCUCACACAACAAUUUUUUUCACACGCAUCAUGUUUUGGAACGGAGCCAUGACAAUUCUUUUCGUCUCAUCGAAUCUCACCGAUGUUCACUUCUCCAGCAUGCGCAAGGUGCAAUCAUCAGCAUUUAAUUUGUUAGCAUUAUUAUAAGGUGAUUUUGUACCUAUCCUCCUUUCAUGUGGGAUAAUCCUAGCAAUCUUUGUCCCACACAACAAUUUUUGACGAUUAAAGUGAAUAGGUUUGCACGUGAUCACAAAUAAAAAACAAAAAGCAACAAUCUUUUCGUUGUCAUUUGUUUCUUCUCAUCAGAAGUGAUGUCAGAAGAACAAUCAUGACACAAAAAAUACAAAAAAAAAUUAAUGAGAAAAAAGAUUUGUAAAUAUGAAUUUUAAAUUUGCUAUUUAUUUUCUGAAAACAAAACUAAUAAAGUUUAUUUUCUUAAAAAGUUUAUAAGAUCGUUAAGAAGAUGUUUAGAAAUGUUAUAAUAAUUAUUUUUUUUUAUAUUUUUUUAUUUAAAAAUAUAUUAAAAUAAUAUAUAUAUAUAUAUUUUUAAAAAUUAUAAUCUUAAUCAAACAAUGGGGUCGUUACUUUAAUCAUUACUUAAUUAUAAUCUUUAAUCUUUAAUCUUUAAUCAUUAUAACACUAAUCAUAAUCUUUAAUCAAACAAUGGGGUCGUUACUUUAAUCAUUACUUAACAAUGGAUCACAUGAAACCGUAUGGGAAUGUGGUUAAAACUAUAUUCCUAAUAAAUUUUUUUUUUUUUUUGUUAAAAUUUAAUAUGGUUUAUAUGUUUUGGAUUGUUUUAAUGUAUUAAUAUUAAAAUAGUUUAAAAAAUUUUUAAAAAACAUUAUUAAUAUAUAUUUUAAUAUAAAAAAAUUAUUUAAAAAAUAAUUAAUACUGACAAACACUUCAAGUUAAAGUUAAAAAUAUCAAGUGGCUGGAUCAUAAAUCCUUAAUUUAUGCAAAUCUAUUGACUGAUCUAAAAGAUGCAAGGUAAUCAGUGGGUUUUUUUGUUAUUUCAAAUUCAUCAUCUUUUUAUUGGAAAACGUGGCGAUCUUCUAAUCCUUGAUCAUUUCUAUUAAUUGCUCUUGUAUUCUUUCCACAAACUUAAAGUUGGGGAUACAUUUCGUGGCGAUCUUCUAAACCUUUAUCUGUUUGUCGUUCUUUUCACAUUCAUUCCUAUUUAUUGCUCUUUUCUACUUGACGCGACUUAAUUCCUUCAUUCGAGAAAAAGCAAAUCAUGAAAGAUAAAAGUGCUUGCACCGACGGUGCAAAAUUAUAAUAAAAAAAACCAAGUUGCGGUCAUGCUAGUAAAAAUAGCACUUGUAAUUUCAAUCACACCAAGCAAUUACACACACACACACACACACUUACUUAAGAGUAAAGUCUUUUCUCAAAAUUCAGGGUUCUUAACAUAAGAAGAUUGAUAAAUUAGAGCACCUAAUGAUAAAAUCUCGCUUAUUCCAUAACUUUGAAUACAAAUUUGAUAAAUCAAUUUAAAUUAAGUGAAUUAGAGGACAUAAUGAUCUAUAUCAAAGUACACUAGGCUGCUAUACCUGAUAAAAGGAGAGAUCAUAAUUUGUGAACGUUUUAACCUGCUACUUUUUUCAAAUAAAUUCAGCAUUAGAGAACAAAAAAGCAAUAAAUAGAAAUGAAUGUGAAAAGAGCAACAAAUAGAUAAAGGAUUAGAAGAUUGCCACGUUUUCCAAUAAAAAAGAUAAAUGAAGAAAACAAUAAUCCAAAAUGCCUAUUUUAAGUUUGUAGAAGCUCCUGAGUUCUUGUUACUCUAUUUUAUCUUCACCAUCUCACCUAUCUCUUGCCGCCUUCAAAUAAAAAUUGUAGUUUAUUAUAUGUUGUUGACUUUCCUUUCCAUUAUAUAUCAUUUUUUAAUGGAUGGUAAUUCCUUUUUCUGCCUUAAUUAAUCAAUAUUUAUCAACAUAUUUGGAGUAAUUUAUUUAAUAGGAAAAUCAGGUUCAGAAAAAACUAACUUAUUUUAAACUAAACAAAUUUCAUUACAUCAAAUUAAAAGGGCUGGGGAAUAUUGGCUCAAGGAGACUGUUUCAAGUUAUAUUGUCUGGUAAUACGGUUUAAUCUAUUUUUAAAUCGUUUUUCAAGUGUUUUUUUUUUUUGUAUGAUUUCUUCUGCAAAAGCAAGAACCUAGAAAUCCAAAACAAAAUAGCGAGAAAUUCAUAAUUCCAAUAGAAAAACUCCAUUUUUUUUAUUAUGACUUCAAUCUUUAUAAAGAAGUAGAGCAAAACAACCUUGUAUUAAUAAGAAGCACUGUCCUAAUGACAUAAUUAACUGACUUCUAUUCGACCGCAAACAUAGGUGAUACUUGAUAGCAUCAAGUGUUUUUUUUUUCAUAGGCAAUAGAAUGCAUGAAAACACCUAAUAAUAGACAUACAAGAGAACCGGAAUAAAUCUGCAGAGACCAAGAAUCUUCAGAAGACAGAGAACCAGCUGACUUAUAAUCAAGAAACCAAAAUCGAAACCAUGCCAUUGUUUCUUCAAUGCAAGAAAACUCCACCUUGAUUGUAUCAUUAAGGACCGCAGUAGUAGCUAGCAGCUUCUGAAAAAACAAAAGUCCUGCCCAUGCAUGAUUGACAGAGAGAGAGGAAGAGAGAGCUGCUCAAUCUAAGGCUACAAUUUUUAUUUCAUUUAUACAAGUUUUCUGUACAUUGAUUCAUUUACAUACUGAGUUCAGCUUUCAAAACUCACUUAAUAAGAUAAUUCUGGGCAAUCCGUAAAUUGAUAAUAGGGAUGACAAUGUAGUUAACGUUGCAGUAACAAGAAACAGUUCAAAUCAUUUCGAUCCAUAACGUCCUAUUCAAGCUCUGCAAGCUGUUCCAAUCCUUAUCGUCCAGCUAAAACCGUCACUUGACUUUACAGACCUGAUAUUGUUAAAAGCACACCAUAAUGAUCACUAGGCAAGACAGGAAGCUUCAACAUCUUUACCUCUCUUCUCACUUUCUUCUCCUUGAUAUAUGAUAACCCAGGUAUUGCCUCCUUACCAAUCAUGCCAAUUUUAAUGAUCUUGAAAUCACGCAGACUGCAUAUGAAUCGAUCCAGUCUCUUUUGCAAUGGAAAAUUGCCGGACAACAUUUGGUUGGAUUUGGUAUCAUAUGUCCAUCCAUCAUCCCCUAGCUUCAACUCUACCCAGGCAUCAACCCAUCCAUCAGGGAAAGGAAACUGACCAUCCAACUUAUCGUCCCAGUUCAUGUCACCACAAAAAAUCACAUUUGAGUUCUUCUUGAGAAGGUUGAUUGCCUCCUUUGCCUGAUCCACGCCUUCCUUGCUGAACAUCUGAUCCCAUUUUGGAGGUGCUGGACAAGGACUCUCUAGAUGGCUUGUGGCAACAACUAAUGACUUUUUUCCUGGAACUUCAAGCUCAGCAAUGCAAAGUUUUCUCCCCAUUAUUGAAUUCAUAAAGGGUUUAGUGCUGAAAGAUUUUACUGGUAGUUUGCU
Molecule: long non-coding RNA, 28946 nt
Filed under: Populus tremula
Lineage: Eukaryota; Viridiplantae; Streptophyta; Magnoliopsida; Malpighiales; Salicaceae
Description: long non-coding RNA (PTRE_LNC002086)
Source: RNAcentral